Molecule: ribosomal RNA, 305 nt
Filed under: uncultured bacterium
Lineage: Bacteria
Description: bacterial SSU rRNA
Rfam family: Bacterial small subunit ribosomal RNA
Source: RNAcentral
GGACCUACGGGGGGCAGCAGUGGGGAGUAUUGCACAAUGGGGGAAACCCUGAUGCAGCGACGCCGCGUGAGCGAAGAAGUAUUUCGGUAUGUAAAGCUCUAUCAGCAGGGAAGAAAAAUGACGGUACCUGAGUAAGAAGCACCGGCUAAAUACGUGCCAGCAGCCGCGGUAAUACGUAUGGUGCAAGCGUUAUCCGGAUUUACUGGGUGUAAAGGGAGCGCAGGCGGUGCGGCAAGUCUGAUGUGAAAGCCCGGGGCCCAACCCCGGAACUGCACUGGAAACUGUGCGGCUAGAGUACUGGAGGG